This 76-nucleotide transfer RNA is filed under the name uncultured eukaryote. The record is from RNAcentral.
AUGCUCGCGGUACUAGUAGUGUGGAUGCUGCUGGGGCCGGAAAUGCGGGGUCCUGGUGGUGGGAAACGGGGAAAGA